This 85-nucleotide transfer RNA is filed under the name Novipirellula herctigrandis. RNAcentral describes it as "Planctomycetes bacterium CA13 tRNA-Leu". It matches the Rfam family "tRNA". From Rfam's summary of the family: Transfer RNA (tRNA) molecules are approximately 80 nucleotides in length. Their secondary structure includes four short double-helical elements and three loops (D, anti-codon, and T loops). Lineage: Bacteria; Pseudomonadati; Planctomycetota; Planctomycetia; Pirellulales; Pirellulaceae. The record is from RNAcentral. RNAcentral also lists the same sequence under 3 other names.
GCCGAAGUGGCGGAAUUGGCAGACGCGCUGGAUUCAAAAUCCAGUUCUCGCAAGGGAGUGAGGGUUCGAGUCCCUCCUUCGGUAC